AUUGAACGCUGGCGGCAGGCCUAACACAUGCAAGUCGAAUGGUAACAGGAAACAGCUUGCUGUUUCGCUGACGAGUGGCGGACGGGUGAGUAAUGUCUGGGAAACUGCCUGAUGGAGGGGGAUAACUACUGGAAACGGUAGCUAAUACCGCAUAACGUCGCAAGACCAAAGAGGGGGACCUUCGGGCCUCUUGCCAUCAGAUGUGCCCAGAUGGGAUUAGCUAGUAGGUGGGGUAACGGCUCACCUAGGCGACGAUCCCUAGCUGGUCUGAGAGGAUGACCAGCCACACUGGAACUGAGACACGGUCCAGACUCCUACGGGAGGCAGCAGUGGGGAAUAUUGCACAAUGGGCGCAAGCCUGAUGCAGCCAUGCCGCGUGUAUGAAGAAGGCCUUCGGGUUUUAAAGUACUUUCAGCGGGGAGGAAGGGAGUAAAGUUAAUGCCUUUGCUCAUUGACGUUACCCGCAGAAGAAGCACCGGCUAACUCCGUG
RNAcentral lists this ribosomal RNA (490 nucleotides) under uncultured bacterium. RNAcentral describes it as "partial 16S ribosomal RNA". It matches the Rfam family "Bacterial small subunit ribosomal RNA", at positions 30 to 507 of the family's 1533-position model. The record is from RNAcentral.